RNAcentral lists this ribosomal RNA (587 nucleotides) under uncultured bacterium. Its description in RNAcentral is "partial 16S ribosomal RNA". It matches the Rfam family "Bacterial small subunit ribosomal RNA", at positions 355 to 1375 of the family's 1533-position model. The record is from RNAcentral.
UGGGGAAUUUUGGACAAUGGGCGAAAGCCUGAUCCAGCAAUGCCGCGUGUGUGAAGAAGGCCUUCGGGUUGUAAAGCACUUUUGUCCGGAAAGAAAUCCUUGGCUCUAAUACAGUCGGGGGAUGACGGUACCGGAAGAAUAAGCACCGGCUAACUACGUGCCAGCAGCCGCGGUAAUACGUAGGGUGCAAGCGUUAAUCGGAAUUACUGGGCGUAAAGCGUGCGCAGGCGGUUUGCUAAGACCGAUGUGAAAUCCCCGGGCUCAACCUGGGAACUGCAUUGGUGACUGGCAGGCUAGAGUAUGGCAGAGGGGGGUAGAAUUCCACGUGUAGCAGUGAAAUGCGUAGAGAUGUGGAGGAAUACCGAUGGCGAAGGCAGCCCCCUGGGCCAAUACUGACGCUCAUGCACGAAAGCGUGGGGAGCAAACAGGAUUAGAUACCCUGGGUAGUCCACGCCCUAAACGAUGUCAACUAGUUGUUGGGGAUUCAUUUCCUUAGUAACGUAGCUAACGCGUGAAGUUGACCGCCUGGGGGAGUACGGUCGCAAGAUUAAAACUUAAAUGAAUUGACGGGGUCAUAGCUGUUUCCU